This 76-nucleotide transfer RNA is filed under the name Campylobacter jejuni. RNAcentral describes it as "tRNA-Lys(ttt)". It matches the Rfam family "tRNA". From Rfam's summary of the family: Transfer RNA (tRNA) molecules are approximately 80 nucleotides in length. Their secondary structure includes four short double-helical elements and three loops (D, anti-codon, and T loops). The record is from RNAcentral. Lineage: Bacteria; Pseudomonadati; Campylobacterota; Epsilonproteobacteria; Campylobacterales; Campylobacteraceae. RNAcentral also lists the same sequence under 64 other names.
GGGCCGUUAGCUCAGUUGGUAGAGCAGUUGACUUUUAAUCAAUUGGUCGCUGGUUCGAAUCCAGCACGGCCCACCA